UGGCGGACGGGUGAGUAAUGUCUGGGAAACUGCCUGAUGGAGGGGGAUAACUACUGGAAACGGUGGCUAAUACCGCAUAACGUCGCAAGACCAAAGAGGGGGACCUUCGGGCCUCUUGCCAUCGGAUGUGCCCAGAUGGGAUUAGCUAGUAGGUGGGGUAAAGGCUCACCUAGGCGACGAUCCCUAGCUGGUCUGAGAGGAUGACCAGCCACACUGGAACUGAGACACGGUCCAG
RNAcentral lists this ribosomal RNA (235 nucleotides) under uncultured bacterium. RNAcentral describes it as "partial 16S ribosomal RNA". It matches the Rfam family "Bacterial small subunit ribosomal RNA", at positions 96 to 334 of the family's 1533-position model. The record is from RNAcentral.